GCCCAGGUGGUGAAAUUGGUAGACACGUAAGAUUCAGGUUCUUAUGCCGCGAGGUGUAGGGGUUCGAGUCCCCUCUUGGGCACCA
This 85-nucleotide transfer RNA is filed under the name Opitutales bacterium. Its description in RNAcentral is "tRNA-Leu". It matches the Rfam family "tRNA". Rfam says of the family: Transfer RNA (tRNA) molecules are approximately 80 nucleotides in length. Their secondary structure includes four short double-helical elements and three loops (D, anti-codon, and T loops). RNAcentral also lists the same sequence under 1 other name. Lineage: Bacteria; Pseudomonadati; Verrucomicrobiota; Opitutia; Opitutales. The record is from RNAcentral.